CGAAGUAUGGCCUGGUAGUUUGGCAUUUCACUUACACUGAAAUUUGUUUUGUGCGACUCAAAAUACUUUGA
This 71-nucleotide transfer RNA is filed under the name Parajapyx emeryanus. RNAcentral's name for it is "tRNA-Val". Lineage: Eukaryota; Metazoa; Arthropoda; Diplura; Dicellurata; Parajapygidae. The record is from RNAcentral.